GACGAACGCUGGCGGCGUGCCUAAUACAUGCAAGUCGAGCGAAGUUUUUCUGGUGCUUGCACUAGAAAAACUUAGCGGCGAACGGGUGAGUAACACGUAAAGAACCUGCCUCAUAGACUGGGACAACUAUUGGAAACGAUAGCUAAUACCGGAUAACAGUAUUUCUCGCAUGAGAGAUAUUUAAAAGUUGGUUAUGCUAACACUAUGAGAUGGCUUUGCGGUGCAUUAGCUAGUUGGUGGGGUAAAGGCCCACCAAGGCGACGAUGCAUAGCCGACCUGAGAGGGUGAUCGGCCACACUGGGACUGAGACACGGCCCAGACUCCUACGGGAGGCAGCAGUAGGGAAUCUUCCGCAAUGGGCGAAAGCCUGACGGAGCAACGCCGCGUGAGUGAAGAAGGAUUUCGGUUCGUAAAGCUCUGUUGUUAGGGAAGAAUGGAUAUGUAGUAAACAUACAUGUAAGAGACGGUACCUAACCAGAAAGCCACGGCUAACUACGUG
RNAcentral lists this ribosomal RNA (499 nucleotides) under uncultured bacterium. RNAcentral's name for it is "partial 16S ribosomal RNA". It matches the Rfam family "Bacterial small subunit ribosomal RNA", at positions 28 to 507 of the family's 1533-position model. The record is from RNAcentral.